RNAcentral lists this long non-coding RNA (1097 nucleotides) under Cyanistes caeruleus (blue tit). Its description in RNAcentral is "lncRNA (ENSCCEG00000016034.1)". Lineage: Eukaryota; Metazoa; Chordata; Aves; Passeriformes; Paridae. The record is from RNAcentral.
AAUAUUGAUUUUUUUAUUUUUUUUUUACACAGGAGAAUAGAUGUGCUGAAAUAGCAGCUUAAAAGCCUCUUUUGAAUACAGGUGUAAGUAAAAUAUUUUGGAUCCUUGAAAACAUCAUCUUUAAAUUAAAUAACUCAUUUGUCUCUCCUUCAGUCCUCCUGCUUCUUGGCUCUGUAUCUCUGUCCAUGUUCAUGUAAAAAAGUGUUGCUUCUUUUCACAAACAGUCAAAUUUUUUUUUCAUAGACUUAAUUUCUACCCUGCACUUUUUAAGACAGCAGCAUGUGUGGUUUUGUUUCAGUUUCACCUGCUGGGGGUUCUUCUGCUUUGAAGAUAACUGGUAAACAGCUGACCACGUAAACACAAACAUUUAUUUUUCCUUGACGUGUGUUUCCUCUUUGUGUCAAAAUAUUCAUAGUCUAGUGAAUGUAUUAUGAUUUUGAGGCUUUAUGGUUAUUAGGAACCUCUGGUGUUAUUUCUUGCAUCAUGCCAGCCAUGUGAUUCCAGCCUCAGGUCCCAGACAAGCUGCAGAGUAUAUUUUGUAAAAGCACUCAUUCUUACAGGAAAGACAUCAGCUUAUUACAUUGCUGCUCUCAAGCACUCAAUUUUAACCUAAUACUUUACUUUUGAAAUGACCAGAAUUUUUUUUAUUUUUUUUUUUUUUUCCCAGCCUGCAUUUACCUUCUCUUUCUUAAUUACUUACUGUUGGUGCUUUGCUCGCUAAUUACAGAUUCCUCUGGUGUCAGGACAUUCCCUUCCAGCACUCCACUGACUGUGCUGAGUUAUCUGUGCCCUUCCCUUGGGGGGGCUGCUGCAGUGUGUUAUGCACAGAUGGCUGGGAAAAAAAUAAGUUUUAGGUAAACAAACAAACAAACAGCAAAAAAAAAUCAUAAAAAAAAUAAGAAGUUGCUGUCUUGUCAGCUCCUGAGGCAGAGAAAUAGUCCAAUCCAAAAGACCAGAAGAGACCCUUUUCUCUUUUCUGAAGCUGUUUCCCUCUGCCAGCCAGUGCCACAAGCCCACCACCAAAUAUCUGCAAUGCUAAAUGUUGUUUCUGAAGAGACCUCAAUAAAAUUAUCCAGAAAAGCUUCUUGAUUAAAGGU